GCUCUGGAGGAGGUUGACGACUCCGAAAUGGUGGAACUGAUGGACACCUGUGAUGAGACCUCUGCUGCAGCACCAGAACAAACAAAGGAGACUAGUCAAAACACCCCCUUUGAGCAGUUGGAACAGGCCAAAGUCCCUACUGAGGACAAGGAUGUACCAACUCUUCAACCAUCAGAGGGGAAGCAGAAAGAACCACCAGAGUUGAGUGUUCCACUUCCCCGGAGAGGGGAUGGCGAACAGGAAGAGGAGGAGGGGCCAGGGGCAGGUGAUGAUUGGCCCAUGACUAGGGUGUGAGAGGGCCAUCCCUAUGCAGGACACUGUGGAAGCCCUGGACAUCACUGAGGAAGGUUUGGAGACUCUGCUGUGCUACCUGGAGCUGCACUGUCAGCAGGGGGUAGAGCUGCUCCACCCCACCCUCUCCACCUGUAAGAUGGUCAGCUCUGCAAACUCACCUAGAUGUCACACUGUAUGCCGCUCUGCAGUGUCUCAUACAAGAGCUGCACUUUCUGCACGGACGAGCGGCAAAGCCUGAAGCAGCAAGGGCUUCUGGGGGAUUACUUUGACAAGAGGAGAGACCUGGACCUGAGCAGGAAGUUCCAGGAAGAGAAGGAUGGAGAGGAUGAGGAGGUGUUGAUGAAAUGCAAGAAGGCUGAUGAGGGGAGGACGGCUCAUUUGUUUUUACUGUAUCUAUACCACAGAAGGCUGAUGAGGGGAGGACGGCUCAUUUUAAUGGGAACCACGUGUUUGAUUUACAGUGCAUUCAGAAAGUAUUCAGACUUUUUCCACAUUUUGAUAUAUUACAGCCUUAUUGUAAAAUGGAUGAAAUAA
Molecule: long non-coding RNA, 828 nt
Filed under: Oncorhynchus kisutch (coho salmon)
Lineage: Eukaryota; Metazoa; Chordata; Actinopteri; Salmoniformes; Salmonidae
Description: lncRNA (ENSOKIG00005008575.1)
Source: RNAcentral